CUUCCCAUUCUCCACAUGUGAAUUGAAGGAGAAAACCCUAAUAAUUAAUACAAUGGGAUGUACACUCUGUCAUGCGCUUUGUUGUGGAGUCAUUAUGGCCUUAUUUAUUCUGGCAGUACCAAUGGCACAAACUUUAAUACACAUAUAUCAAUUUAACAAUGAAUGGACUCUUGGUGGUAUUUUACAUUCAACUAACUCCGUUGCUACCGCUAUUAUGGCAUUUGCUAUAAUGGUACCUAAAAGUUUGCCACUCAUCCCAACUCUCUCACUUGCCUAUGCACUGAAGAAAAUGAUGAAUGAUAAGAUUUUGUUACACCGUUUUGACACUUAUGAAACAAUGGGAAAUGUAAGUGUUAUCUGCACAGACAAAACUGGAAGUCUCACAGUUGACAGAUUGCAAGUCGUAAAGUCACACAUCUGUGACACAUUGUACCUUUCUACUCCCCCAUUUCACAAUCUACCAGAUCCUGUUGGAAAUAUUAUUACACAUAAUAUUUCAAUAAACACAUCAUAUUCAUCUCGUUUGUUGUUAUCUAUCCUUGCUCACUUUAUGGCAGCCUGAGAUACUACCUAGGAUUAGUUGAACUAAAUUGGAAAAUCAGUUUCAUACAUAAAACUAAGCACAACAUUGGAUCUGGUGUUAUACUCUUUACAACUACCAGAAUUGGAAAAAGGACAAAAACAUAGCAAGAAACUAUGUCAUCAAGAUGACACUUUUUCCAAAACCAAUAAGUGCAAGUGCUAAGAAGCAGACCCAGAGUGGAAAUGAAUAAACAUUGAAUGAACAUAACUACAAAGAAAUUGUUUGGACUUACAAAAACCAAUAAGUGCAAGUGAUAAGAAGCAGACCAAGAGUGGAAAUGAAUAAACAAUGA
This is an RNA transcript of Schistocerca nitens (vagrant locust), 875 nucleotides long. It is a transcript of the gene named plasma membrane calcium-transporting ATPase 4-like, with no coding region annotated. The record is from RefSeq and is a predicted model, not a curated record. NCBI's taxonomy places the organism in Eukaryota, Metazoa, Arthropoda, Insecta, Orthoptera, Acrididae. The transcript has 6 exons.